RNAcentral lists this ribosomal RNA (1235 nucleotides) under metagenome. Its description in RNAcentral is "bacterial LSU rRNA". It matches the Rfam family "Bacterial large subunit ribosomal RNA", at positions 1564 to 2810 of the family's 2925-position model. The record is from RNAcentral.
UGAAUACGAGACGCUAAGGCGUCGAAGUAGUGUAUGUCAUACUUCCAAGAAAAGCUUGCACUGUCAUAGAUAAAAAACGCCUGUACCAUAACCGACACAGGUGGGUAGGUAGAGUAUACUAAGGGGCGCGAGAUAACUCUCUCUAAGGAACUCGGCAAAAUAACUCCGUAACUUCGGGAGAAGGAGUGCCUUAUUCGUAAGGUUGCAAUAACAAGAUCCAAGCAACUGUUUAUCAAAAACACAGGUCUCCGCUAAGUCGUAAGACGAUGUAUGGGGGCUGACGCCUGCCCAGUGCCAGAAGGUUAAAGAAGUUGGUUAGCAAUUGCGAAGCUGAUAACUGAAGCCCUGGUGAACGGCGGCCGUAACGAUAACGGUCCUAAGGUAGCGAAAUUCCUUGUCGGGUAAGUUCCGACCCGCACGAAAGGCGUAAUGAUUUGGAUACUGUCUCGGAGAGGGGCUCGGUGAAAUAGACUUGUCUGUGAAGAUGCGGACUACCUGCACCAGGACAGAAAGACCCUAUGAAGCUUUACUGUAACUUGAAAUUGAAAUUGGACUUUAUUCGCGCAGUAUAGGUGGGAGGCGUUGAUUAUAAUCUUGUGGGAUUAUUGGAGCCAUCAGUGAGAUACCACUCUUGUAAUGUUAGAUUUCUAACUUUGAAUCAUUAUCUGGUCAAAGAACAGUUUCAGGCGGGCAGUUUGACUGGGGCGGUCGCCUCCUAAACGGUAACGGAGGCGUACAAAGGUUUCCUCUGAACGGUUAGAAAUCGUAUCUAGAGUGUAAAGCCAUAAGGAAGCUUGACUGUGAGACCUACAAGUCGAGCAGGGACGAAAGUCGGUCUUAGUGAUCUGACGGUACUGAGUGGAAAGGCCGUCACUCAACGGAUAAAAGUUACUCUAGGAUAACAGGCUGAUCUCCCCCAAGAGUCCACAUCGACGGGGAGGUUUGGCACCUCGAUGUCGGCUCAUCGCAUCCUGGGGCGGUAGUACGUCCAAGGGUUGGGCUGUUCGCCCAUGAAAGCGGUACGCGAGCUGGGUUCAGAACGUCGUGAGACAGUUCGGUCCAUAUCCGGUGUAGGCGUUAGAAUAUUGAGAGGAGCCUUCUUUAGUACGAGAGGACCGAGAAGGACAUACCUCUGGUGUACCAGUUAUCGUGCCAACGGUAAACGCUGGGUAGCUAUGUAUGGAGUGGAUAACCGCUGAAAGCAUCUAAGUGGGAAGCCCACCUCAAGAUAAGUA